This 460-nucleotide ribosomal RNA is filed under the name uncultured bacterium. Its description in RNAcentral is "partial 16S ribosomal RNA". It matches the Rfam family "Bacterial small subunit ribosomal RNA", at positions 338 to 795 of the family's 1533-position model. The record is from RNAcentral.
GCUACGGGAGGCUGCAGUGAGGAAUAUUGGUCAAUGGACGAGAGUCUGAACCAGCCAAGUAGCGUGAAGGAUGACUGCCCUAUGGGUUGUAAACUUCUUUUAUAAAGGAAUAAAACGAGGCACGUGUGCCUUUUUGCAUGUACUUUAUGAAUAAGGAUCGGCUAACUCCGUGCCAGCAGCCGCGGUAAUACGGAGGAUCCGAGCGUUAUCCGGAUUUAUUGGGUUUAAAGGGAGCGUAGAUGGGUUGUUAAGUCAGUUGUGAAAGUUUGCGGCUCAACCGUGAAAUUGCAAUUGAGACUGGCUGUCUUGAGUACAGUUGAGGUAGGCGGAAUUCGUGGUGUAGCGAUGAAAUGCUUAGAUAUCACGAAGAACCCCGAUUGCGAAGGCAGCUUACUAAGCUGUGACUGACAUUGAUGCUCGAAAGUGUGGGUAUCAAACAGGAUUAGAUACCCCAGUAGUC